This is a long non-coding RNA of Centrocercus urophasianus (Greater sage-grouse), 1877 nucleotides long. RefSeq lists it as uncharacterized. The transcript is spliced from 2 exons. Lineage: Eukaryota; Metazoa; Chordata; Aves; Galliformes; Phasianidae. The record is from RefSeq and is a predicted model, not a curated record.
CGUGCGGAAGCGUGUCGCGCCCUUUUGCCCUCCCUAUCCGUCUCGUCCCCGCUUGCCUCGUGUUCGGCGUGACCGAGCUCCUAUAAGCUACUGCACGGCGAUGAGGGGCAGCAGCGGUGCGGGAGGACGGCAGGCGGAGCCGUUAUCUCAGCUGUGCCGGCCUUGCGGGGUCGCAAGGUCGCCCGGCUCUUUGAGGGAUCUCCGGCUGCGGUCCGUGGCCGUAAAGCCGCGCUUAUCUCACCGGUGUGCGUGGUUGUGAGGGGAAGUCAGAGCGCCUCCUAACGCCUCCCAUGGUGGUGGUGAUACAUCUGAGAAAGCGUGUGAAGUAAUUCUGAACAAAAGAACAGAAUUAUGCAGCUGUUGUCCCACAGCUCGGAACGCUGACAACACGUGCAGAAAAAUAACAUGAAAAUGGAGAUUGUGGUCUGAAGCCUGGCCCAAACCAAGGGUCACACACAAACAGUGUGUGCUUCUAAAUGCUCUGCGUCUCUCUUUGGAAGUCCACACAUAGGUCUCCACAUCAAUUGAGUGAUCUGCUUUCUAGUGGCUUCUUAUCAAGAAUUAAGACAAUUAAGACUGAAAAUACAUUGCUGCAUUUAUCUUGAUUGCUAUAAUACAAACACCUCUCACAGAAUAAGGCAAGUGAACAUUUUGAGUGUCAGCCAGAGACUUCAAGUCAGUCAUUCAACAUCCAAUGUCAGACAUUCAAACAUCCAUCACUUUUACAAAAUAAUUACAGUUCUUUAAAGUUCUUCAGGUACCUUAAAACAGGGUUGCAGUUCAUGAUAGUUCCUGACCUAACCCAGUCAGGAGAUUCCCACAUAUGUUCAGAGUUGGUAGGGAUGUUCUCAUGCCUUCUUUUAAUUUCUUUUUAUCUCUUCUUUUGGGCACUGUUCUGAUUUCAUGGAGAUAAAAAUGAUUAAAUGGAAAAAAAAAAAAAAAAAAAGGAAAAUUCAGGGAUAUGAUUUUGCAAUUUGUGUAAAAGAUACUUAAUUUGGAAACAAUCAGCAUCUGUCUUUCAUAGGAGUCUGAUUUCAAGAUCCAAAUUUACAUUCAUAUUCUUCUAAAAUUGUGAUUGAUUCACGUAAUUGAUAUUCCCAACUUUAUCACAAACAUGCUUAGAAAUGUGCUUGAAAAUGUGUUUCCAACACUUUUUAAAGCAAAAAGAAGAAAGCACUUAUUUGGUCAGCCAGAACAAGCAGAUUGCCUAUAGUAAUAUGUGUUCUACUCUAAAGCCACAGACUGAAGAAGAUUGUACAGCAUUUUCUUUUGUUAGUACAUUCUCAUCCAUGCUGAUUUGCUUGUGGGAUAAAUUUGCUGUUGCAGAAGCAGUGCUGGCCAUUUUCAGCAUCUAAAAACAUUUUGGCUCAGAGAUACAAUAGAUCUAGUCUUCGCAUUAAAGCAAUUAAAUGAAGAUCCUCAGUAUGGGUGCUGCAUAUUGCCUUGUUCAGGGCUGCUUUAUUCCAGUGAGCCUUGUAAGACAGGACUUCUGAAGGAGCAGAACUGUAAGAAAAUGGAGUAUAGCCAUAACCUAACUGUUCCUACUACCAAAACAGCAGAAUAACUAAUUCAUGAUAACUGGAUAAUUCUAUUUUUGUUAUUCAGUGGUACAGAUGGUACUUGAUUUUUGAAGACAUUGUCAGUUAAAGUCUUAUUCUCUUUUGAAAACUGUUUCUUGCUGAAAAGCUGAGGAAUUUUACUAUACAGUUUUGACUAGAUACGUAUCUCAGCUACCUGGUAUUUGCUGUUGGACAUUAAACCUGAGCUAAUAAAUUAUAAAGCCGGGUAACUUGUCAGAGAUUUUCUGCAGAUAUUACUGCAGUAAUAGCUUAAAAAGUGAGUGGUAUAGAUUCUGAAUAAAGGCCAGCUAAAACUGA